Molecule: long non-coding RNA, 551 nt
Organism: Aquila chrysaetos chrysaetos
Lineage: Eukaryota; Metazoa; Chordata; Aves; Accipitriformes; Accipitridae
Exons: 2
Source: RefSeq, a predicted model, not a curated record
GGCCCCGGGGCGGGGGGGGGGCGCGGCCGAAGCGCGGAGGUUCCGCGGCUGCUGUGGGCUCCGCUGCCGGGGCUUCCCCCCCCCCCCCCCGCAGUCUAAAGGGGGAAAGAAGAAGGAGGCGGUGGUGCGGGGAGGAGGGAGUGUGAUUGAAGAGAGCGGAGGGAAGGAAGGAGGGGAGGAGAAGAGAGGAGGGGAAAGGAAAAAAAAAAAAAAAAGAAAAAAAAAAACCAACCCAAAAAAACAACCAACCCAAGAAAGGAGGAGGAGGAGGAGGAGGAGGAGAGGCAGGAAGGAGGAGAGAGAAGGGGAAAAAAAAAAAAAAAAAUCAAAAAAAAAAGAACCACCGAGCCAGACGCGCCGGCAGCACGGAGAGGGUCGCCGGCGGGCUGCCCCCGCACCCACCAGCCGGAUCAAGACUCCGUGUGUGUGUGUGUGGAUUAAAACCUUUGGGAAGAAGGAGGAAAAAAAAAAAAAAACCCAAACCGAAAAACCAAACAAACCCCAAACCCCGCAUCAGGACGACCUGGGCUUUAAAAAGGGAUACAACACUC